This 324-nucleotide long non-coding RNA is filed under the name Mustela putorius furo (domestic ferret). RNAcentral's name for it is "lncRNA (ENSMPUG00000026073.1)". The record is from RNAcentral. Lineage: Eukaryota; Metazoa; Chordata; Mammalia; Carnivora; Mustelidae.
GUGGAAACUGACAAGCUGAUUCUAAAAUGCAUAUAGUAACACAGAAGUCCAAAACGGCCGGGAUACUCUUAAAGAAGCCCCAAGCUGGGACUCCUUACUCUACAAGAUGAGGAAACAAAGAAGAGAACCACGACUUUGAUCCAGGCAGCUCUCUUGGACUACAAAUCCGUAAUUCUAUCAUGCUAGUUGUUUUUAUCUUUGAAGAAAUGCUUCAAUUAAACUUUAAUUUCUAAUAAGAUUAAUUUUUAUGAUGAUUUCUAACAAUGAUGGGCAUCUUCCUCCCGCCCCUUUAUUUAUUUAUUUAUUUAUUUUUAGAAAGAUUUU